This 81-nucleotide non-coding RNA is filed under the name human gut metagenome. RNAcentral describes it as "TPP riboswitch (THI element)". It matches the Rfam family "TPP riboswitch aptamer (THI element)", at positions 8 to 91 of the family's 105-position model. From Rfam's summary of the family: Vitamin B(1) in its active form thiamin pyrophosphate (TPP) is an essential coenzyme that is synthesised by coupling of pyrimidine and thiazole moieties in bacteria. The record is from RNAcentral.
AAGAGGGGUGCCCGCUCGUUGGGCUGAGAUUACACCCUGGAACUUGAUGCGGGUCAUGCCGCCGUAAGGACUUGAUGUUUU